AGUCAAGGAGAGGAGACUGCAUAGGGUGUGACUAUCAGGAACCAUGGCUCACUGGAGCACCAUCUUUGGAGUCUAGCUAACACAGCAUCUUGGAUGCACUCCUAAGAGAAGACUACCUGAAAGGCGUGUACACUGGUCUAGCAGUUGAGAUCAGCUAGUGUUCCAUCUAUCUUCUGUCAUGUAUCUCUUCUAAGAUGUCUUGAUCGACUGACCCCAAAGCCAGAGGGUACCAGGUCAAAAAGCAAGAAAACAAACAAUACUGACAUUAGAGAGAAGCAAAGUUUCUAUAGAAAACCUAUUACACUGUGGUAUAAAUCAAGAUGAACCUGCAGACAUCUAUUUUAGUUUGGAAGUCUGGAAAAGUUCAAGAUUGGCCAUCUGCAGCUGGUGAGAGCCUCAGGCUGCUUCCCCUCAUGGUGGAAGGUGAAGGGGAGCUGGUGUGUGCAGAGAUUACAUGCUUUUCUAGGUCAUCAUUCUAGGCUUUGUUGAAGCAUGCAUUUUUGGCAUGAGGGUGGCAGCCUUUGCACUAUGUGCAUGGCUGAGGAGUUAGGAUCUGGAGGGUGAUGAAAGCAAAGGUGCUGCUGGUUACUCUUGGUUCAUCUAGCAAUAGAUGAUCUGAAUGUUAGAGUUCGCCAAAUAUUGUUCCUGGGCAGUCUUUGCUCUACCAAAUCAACUUUCUCCAUGGGGGAGCUAGAAGUCACCCCACAUUCUCCGCCAUGGCCAGCUCUACAUUCUAAGAGAUGACAAAGACACAAGGAGCCAAGACAGAUCAUUCAAGCAUAUUCAUUGCCUCUAUCUUCAUCCCAUUAAAUAACAUCCCGCCAACCAAAGCAAGUUAUCUGCAUAAGAAUAAAUAUUCCACCUACUCUACUGCAAGGCCCUGCAAGAGUCAUGAGACAAAAGGAUCCUCUGUGGACAGCACCCAAGAUGGAAACAACUGACAGUCUAUGGCCAGGGCUAUACUCUGGUGAAACUGAAAGGUGUCUGCAUGGAAGUGUCUGACUACCACCAUCCACUCAGGCAAAUGCAUUUGUUUCCCUCUAUUCAUUAUUAGAAGAGAGGAGAUUACAUACCAGACAUAUACCAAUAGGUUUUCUCUUCAUAAUACCUACGUCAUCUAGUAGCAUAACAUAAGGCAGAAUCCUUCAAAGGUUGACUCCUAGAGAUGGAAGAGCUGUAAGCAGAGACAGAAAAAUUUUUCUGUACUCAUGCUGUGGAGCUGUACUCUGGAGCAGCAAGUGACAAGUGAAGACAACCUCCCUCCCUGCCUUUUCUGGUCUGAGUAACAUUGUCAUUAAAAUUGUCAAAUAAAUUAAGAUACCAAGACAAAAAAA
Homo sapiens (human) is the source of this 1334-nucleotide long non-coding RNA. Ensembl annotates it as long intergenic non-protein coding RNA 2465. NCBI's taxonomy places the organism in Eukaryota, Metazoa, Chordata, Mammalia, Primates, Hominidae. The record is from Ensembl.